Molecule: long non-coding RNA, 635 nt
Filed under: Cricetulus griseus (Chinese hamster)
Lineage: Eukaryota; Metazoa; Chordata; Mammalia; Rodentia; Cricetidae
Description: lncRNA (ENSCGRG00015031804.1)
Source: RNAcentral
GACACAGUCCACCCUGGUGAGGGAGGCACAGCCCUGAGAGCUCUUCUGUAACAAUGGGUGCACAUGGCGGUAGCUCUCACAUGCUAGCAGAUGAAGAAGCAAAGUGCUGGAGCUGGAACCAGAAGCAGGUAGGGCUUUCAAGGCCCACCCCAGAAACUCACUUCUGCCAGGCCAUAGUCCUAAGGGCUUCUGCACCCUUCUGAUGCAGAGCCACCAGAUAUAGGGGUGGUUCAGCAUUGGCAAAUCAGUAAAGAUCAUGCAUCACAUGAGUGGCUGGAGAAAAGAUGAAAGAAAUCACACCACCAUCUUAAUAGAUGCAAGAAAGGCCUUUGACCAACUACAGCAUCUCAGCGUCAUGAUAAAAGUACUGAAGAGACUCAGAAUGUUGGGGAAAUAUCUCAACAUAGAAAGACCAUAUACAACAAACCUGAAGACAUUCUGACCAUAUAGUUUGUGUAACCACCAGCAAUCAGUAAUAGUGCCAUUGAAACUAUGUACCAGAAUUUUUCUUCUUGGUUGGCCUCAUGUACCUCAGUCCUUGCAUAGAGUUGUUUAUAGGAUAAAUUAACAAUAAUGUCACUCCCCUCCAUAUACAAAAAAAAAAUGCUUCCUAUGGUACACAGCUGUAACCUUCA